ACCUCUAACUGAUUUAAAGCAUAAAGGGCCCGGGACAAAAGAUUCUGCUGCCAGUCUAUGGGUAUUGUCCCCUUAUGACCUUCCCCCUCUCCAAGCUGUUGUAGUUUUGCUUUUAGGGUGCGAUGCACAUGUUCUACUAUUGCUUGUCCUUGACUGUUGUAAGGAAGGCCAUGUACUAACUUGAUGUCCCAUAAUGCACACCAUUCUUUGGUGAUUCUAGCAACAAAA
This is a long non-coding RNA of Athene cunicularia (burrowing owl), 228 nucleotides long. RefSeq lists it as uncharacterized. NCBI's taxonomy places the organism in Eukaryota, Metazoa, Chordata, Aves, Strigiformes, Strigidae. The transcript has 3 exons. The record is from RefSeq and is a predicted model, not a curated record.